AACGUACGCUGGCGGCACGCCUAACACAUGCAAGUCGAACGAAGUAGCAAUACUUAGUGGCAGACGGGUGAGUAACAUGUAGGUAUCUGCCCUUUGGCCUGGAAUAACACGAGGAAACUUGUGCUAAUACCGGAUAAGUCUUUACGGAGAAAGCUUUAUGCACCAUUGGAUGAGCCUGCACUUGAUUAGUUUGUUGGUGGGGUAAUGGCCUACCAAGACUGUGAUCAAUAGCUGAUUUGAGAGGAUGAUCAGCCACAUUGGGACUGAGACACGGCCCAAACUCCUACGGGAGGCAGCAGUGGGGAAUCUUGCACAAUGGAGGAAACUCUGAUGCAGCGAUGCCGCGUGAGUGAAGAAGGCCCUUGGGUUGUAAAGCUCUUUCGUCGGGGAAGAAAAUGACUGUACCCGAAUAAGAAGGUCCGGCUAACUUCGUGCCAGCAGCCGCGGUAAUACGAAGGGACCUAGCGUAGUUCGGAAUUACUGGGCUUAAAGAGUUCGUAGGUGGUUGAAAAAGUUAGUGGUGAAAUCCCAGAGCUUAACUCUGGAACUGCCAUUAAAACUUUUCAGCUAGAGUAUGAUAGAGGAAAGCAGAAUUUCUAGUGUAGAGGUGAAAUUCGUAGAUAUUAGAAAGAAUACCAAUUGCGAAGGCAGCUUUCUGGAUCAUUACUGACACUGAGGAACGAAAGCAUGGGUAGCGAAGAGGAUUAGAUACCCUCGUAGUCCAUGCCGUAAACGAUGUGUGUUAGACGUUGGAAAUUUAUUUUCAGUGUCGCAGGGAAACCGAUAAACACACCGCCUGGGGAGUACGACCGCAAGGUUAAAACUCAAAUGAAUUGACGGGGACCCGCACAAGUAGUGGAGCAUGUGGUUUAAUUCGAAGAUACGCGCAGAACCUUACCAACACUUGACAUGUUCGUCGCGACUCUAAGAGAUUAGAGUUUUCGGUUCGGCCGGACGAAACACAGGUGCUGCAUGGCUGUCGUCAGCUCGUGUCGUGAGAUGUUGGGUUAAGUCCCGCAACGAGCGCAACCCUCACUUUUAGUUGCCAUCAUUAAGUUGGGCACUCUGAAAGAACUGCCAGUGAUAAGCUGGAGGAAGGUGGGGAUGACGUCAAGUCCUCAUGGCCCUUACGUGUUGGGCUACACACGUGCUACAAUGGUAUCUACAACAGGAAGCAAGACUGCGAAGUUAAGCAAAUCCCUAAAAGAUACCUCAGUUCGGAUUGCACUCUGCAACUCGAGUGCAUGAAGCUGGAGUUACUAGUAAUCGUGGAAUCAGCGUGCCACGGUGAAAUGCGUUCCCGGGUCU
This 1308-nucleotide ribosomal RNA is filed under the name uncultured bacterium. Its description in RNAcentral is "bacterial SSU rRNA". It matches the Rfam family "Bacterial small subunit ribosomal RNA", at positions 28 to 1381 of the family's 1533-position model. The record is from RNAcentral.